Molecule: ribosomal RNA, 253 nt
Filed under: uncultured bacterium
Lineage: Bacteria
Description: partial 16S ribosomal RNA
Rfam family: Bacterial small subunit ribosomal RNA
Source: RNAcentral
UACGGAGGGGGUUAGCGUUUUUCGGAAUUACUGGGCGUAAAGCGCGCGUAGGCGGAUCAGAAAGUUGGGGGUGAAAUCCCGGGGCUCAACCCCGGAACUGCCUCCAAAACUCCUGGUCUUGAGUUCGAGAGAGGUGAGUGGAAUUCCGAGUGUAGAGGUGAAAUUCGUAGAUAUUCGGAGGAACACCAGUGGCGAAGGCGGCUCACUGGCUCGAUACUGACGCUGAGGUGCGAAAGUGUGGGGAGCAAACAGG